UUCUCUCACCGCAGACCUCUCCACAGGACAGUCAGGCACGACCAGACUCCUGAUCUUCUGGGCAUGGAUUCCCCUGCAUCACCAAGAGGAUCAGGGAAGUCUAAGAGAGUUCACCUCCCUCAAGUAACCACAGAGUUCCCGUGGCAUCAGCUCGCGUGUGCCCAUCGGCGGACUCAGCUCACUACGUUCCUGCUCAUCGUCAAGAGAUCCGGCCCUUCUUCCCUUUGAUUUGACUUGACCGUCUUAAUAAUUGUCUGAGUUAAAAAAACAAACAAAAAAUAAAAACAAAAAACAAGAAGUUUUAAA
Molecule: long non-coding RNA, 306 nt
Filed under: Equus caballus (horse)
Lineage: Eukaryota; Metazoa; Chordata; Mammalia; Perissodactyla; Equidae
Description: lncRNA (ENSECAG00000054910.1)
Source: RNAcentral